ACGAAGGGGGCUAGCGUUGCUCGGAAUGACUGGGCGUAAAGGGCGCGUAGGCGGCCUGGACAGUCGGAUGUGAAAUUCCUGGGCUCAACCUGGGGGCUGCAUCCGAGACGUUUGGGCUGGAGUGGGGAAGAGGGUCGUGGAAUUCCCAGUGUAGAGGUGAAAUUCGUAGAUAUUGGGAAGAACACCGGUGGCGAAGGCGGCGACCUGGUCCUUGACUGACGCUGAGGCGCGAAAGCGUGGGGAGCAAACAGGAUUAGAUACCCUGGUAGUCCACGCCGUAAACGAUGUGUGCUGGAUGUUGGGCGGCCUAGCCGUUCAGUGUCGAAGCUAACGCGGUAAGCACACCGCCUGGGGAGUACGGCCGCAAGGUUG
Molecule: ribosomal RNA, 372 nt
Filed under: uncultured bacterium
Lineage: Bacteria
Description: bacterial SSU rRNA
Rfam family: Bacterial small subunit ribosomal RNA
Source: RNAcentral